Lynx canadensis (Canada lynx) is the source of this 1743-nucleotide long non-coding RNA. RefSeq lists it as uncharacterized. Lineage: Eukaryota; Metazoa; Chordata; Mammalia; Carnivora; Felidae. The transcript is spliced from 5 exons. The record is from RefSeq and is a predicted model, not a curated record.
CCCCGCGUGCGCGGGCCGGGCGCACGGAGCGGGAAAUGCGGCCGCAUCCCGGAGUGGAGGCCGGGGACCUCGCCCUCCCCGGCGGAAGCCCGAGGGGUCUCGGUGUCCUCAAGCGGCAGCUGAGGCCAACCUCUGCGCGCAGGACCGCGAAGCCUGGCAGCCGCGUCGGCUCCUGCCGGGUGUUGUCUUGCGUUAGUUACUCCCGAGCUUUCCCGCUUCCCAGCCCCGUGAAUACCGCCUGCACUUCUCAGAAGAGCAGCCUGACGGUGGCUCCGGCACGCGCUUGCAGUCCUGCGUUUGCGCCGCUAGGGGGAGAGCCCCUCGGGUUUGGGCCCGAGCGAAGCUUGGCCGCGUUUGCAGCCCUCGAGGGAAACUGCCCAGUCCUGAGGGCCGGGCGAAAAGCCUCCAGCUUAUGAUGCCGGGAACGGACCGCCUGGGUUUCCACCCCCCUGCCUCCCGCUUCUCAAUUCUGUAAAUAUUUAUUCUGCAUGUGUUCCAGACCUGGCCCUUGUCCUCCCAGAACUCACAGCCCCCGGAGCAAACAGCACUCCUUAUAAAAAUGAAUGAGUGAAUAAAUAGCUACAAGAAAACCACAGAAGCAGGGCUAUGACCCAGAAGGAUAACAGGAGAGAAGGUGAACAGGCAGCCAGCUGGUUCAGCACAUCAAGUCGCAGAACGGAAGACCACCAAGAAAGAAGCGGUCCAAUUCUGUAAGGCUUAAUAAUCUCUUCCUGUUUCAGGGCAAAAUGAAUUAUGCUCCAUCUUCUUUGCUGCUUAAACUUGUGUUAGUUCUACCAACGUACUAACCAGAAGAGUGCCAAAAACUGCACUGGUGAGGAAUGUGAACUUUUUGAAUUGCCACGGCUUCCCUGGAGGUUCACGGAAUGAUGGAAAAAAUAGGACACUGUUAUGAAGCCAAGCUCCUUCAUGAAGUACUUUGCUGAAUUUCAAGGCAAAAAAAGUACCAUUCAUUUUUUUUCUGCAACUGGCUGGAUUUUUAAACUAUAUCCAUCACUCACUGUAAUCACAGGAAAUCAGCUCAAAAACUUAUUCUUGCGUCUAUUUUUUCCCCUGAGGCCACAAUACCUAUAAAAUGAAAUGCUGAUGUAUUAAUACCAUGUUUUAGCGGUUUCUAACAUACAGUCAAAAUCAAUCAAUGCUUCCCAGAGUUACUGCACAAGAAAUACACCAACAAUUAAACAGAGUGUUAAGUAUUUGAUCUGCAAGAGACCUUACAAGGUUAGAUCAAUUUACUUUCCAAAGCUGGUUGUUUUUGCAUAAAAUGUACUCAUGAUCCUAUGUCUUCAUGUCAGCCUUACUGAUACGAAUUAAGACUUACUAGAACACACACCCACAAAUGGACUUUUUUUUAAAGAAUCAAAGUUUCCUUUUUAUUCCUUUAGCACACAACUUCACUGAUCAUCUUACUAGAAUAACUUUCAAAAGUGAUUGCUGUGAAUAUCAUUGAAGUCACAUUUAUGGAGCGAAUUUCCCAAAAACCAGACCAUGCAAAAAUUGAAAACAGUUUGAAAAGAAUCAUAAAAAAAUUACUUAGCUCAAAUCUUUUAUUUCACAGAUAUAGAAACUAAAACUGUUGUGAAGUUAACAGUGUUUGCCUCUAAAGUCAACUGCUAGUUAAUUAAUGAAAAAAGGACCGAGAUCCAUGUAUGUUAAGACCAGGUUCUUUCUCCUGAACUGAACUUCCCUAUAAAAUAUACAAUAAAUUAUAUAUGUGUGUGUGUA